Molecule: ribosomal RNA, 652 nt
Filed under: uncultured archaeon
Lineage: Archaea
Description: bacterial SSU rRNA
Rfam family: Archaeal small subunit ribosomal RNA
Source: RNAcentral
ACCGGCACAAGGCUCAGUAACACGUUGAUACUCUACCCUUAAGUCUGGGAUAACCUUGGGAAACUGAGGCUAAACCCGGAUAGAAGAUUGAUACUGGAAUGUACUUUCUUCAAAAAGCAAUGCUUAAGGAUGAGUCAGUGGCUGAUUAGGUAGUUGGUGAGGUAAUGGCUCACCAAGCCUGAGAUCAGUAGGGGGGAUGAGAGUCCUAGCCCCGAGAAGGGCACUGAGAUACUGGCCCUAGCACUAAGGUGUGCAGCAGGCGCGAAAACUUUACAAUGCGCGAAAGUGUGAUAAGGGUAUCCCAAGUGCUAUACUUAGUAUAGCUUUUGCCAAGUGUAAAUAGCUUGGAGAAUAAGUGGUGGGUAAUACCGGUGCCAGCAGCCGCGGUAACACCGGAGCCACAAGUGGUGACCAUUUUUAUUGGGUCUAAAGCGUCUGUAGCAGGUUGUGUAAAUCUCUUGUGAAAUUGUUGCGCUUAACGUAACAGCGAGCGAGAGAGACUGCAUAGCUAGGAACCGGGAGGGGGCAGAGGUACUUCAUGGGGAGCGGUAAAAUGCUAUAAUCCACGAAGGACCACCUGUGGCGAAGGCGUCUGCCUAGAACGGGUUCGACUGUGAAGGACGAAAGCUGAGGGAGCGAUCGGGAUUAGAUA